GGGGCUGCGCGCCAGGAGGGCGCAGAGCACGGAGCCUGCCUUGGACGCCGACUGGAGGGCCUGGCGGGCGAGGUGGUGGGAAAAUGAAACCAGAUGGCAACUAGGAGAUGUAGGAAAGAAUAAAGAGCCACUAAUAAGGUGCCUUCCUCUGCUUUGAGGUCCUAAACCACUACCUCCAACAUCCUCUUUUGUCUUUAGCUAAAAAUGAUAUUCAAGGUGAAGCCUUCAGGU
Molecule: long non-coding RNA, 231 nt
Organism: Phacochoerus africanus (Common warthog)
Lineage: Eukaryota; Metazoa; Chordata; Mammalia; Artiodactyla; Suidae
Exons: 3
Source: RefSeq, a predicted model, not a curated record